CCUACGGGAGGCAGCAGUAGGGAAUAUUGCUCAAUGGGGGAAACCCUGAAGCAGCAACGCCGCGUGGAGGAUGAAUGUUCUCGGAUUGUAAACCUCUUUUGUUAGAGAAGAUAAUGACGGUAUCUAACGAAUAAGCACUGUCUAACUCCGUGCCAGCAGCCGCGGUAAUAAGGAGGAUGCAAGCGUUACUCGGAAUCACUGGGCGUAAAGAGCGCGUAGGCGGGUUAGCAAGUCAGAUGUGAAAUCUUAUGGCUUAACCAUAGAACUGCAUUUGAAACUGUUAGUCUAGAGUAAGGGAGAGGUAGGUGGAAUUCGUGGUGUAGGGGUAAAAUCCGUAGAGAUCAAGAGGAAUACUCAUUGCGAAGGCGACCUACUAAAACAUAACUGACACUGAUGCGCGAAAGCGUGGGGAGCAAACAGGAUUAGAUACCCCAGUAGUC
RNAcentral lists this ribosomal RNA (440 nucleotides) under uncultured bacterium. Its description in RNAcentral is "partial 16S ribosomal RNA". It matches the Rfam family "Bacterial small subunit ribosomal RNA", at positions 338 to 795 of the family's 1533-position model. The record is from RNAcentral.